GAUGAACUUUGGCGGCGUGCCUAAUACAUGCAAGUCGAGCGAACGGACGAGAAGCUUGCUUCUCUGAUGUUAGCGGCGGACGGGUGAGUAACACGUGGAUAACCUACCUAUAAGACUGGGAUAACUUCGGGAAACCGGAGCUAAUACCGGAUAAUAUUUUGAACCGCAUGGUUCAAAAGUGAAAGACGGUCUUGCUGUCACUUAUAGAUGGAUCCGCGCUGCAUUAGCUAGUUGGUAAGGUAACGGCUUACCAAGGCAACGAUGCAUAGCCGACCUGAGAGGGUGAUCGGCCACACUGGAACUGAGACACGGUCCAGACUCCUACGGGAGGCAGCAGUAGGGAAUCUUCCGCAAUGGGCGAAAGCCUGACGGAGCAACGCCGCGUGAGUGAUGAAGGUCUUCGGAUCGUAAAACUCUGUUAUUAGGGAAGAACAUACGUGUAAGUAACUGUGCACAUCUUGACGGUACCUAAUCAGAAAGCCACGGCUAACUACGUGCCAGCAGCCGCGGUAAUACGUAGGUGGCAAGCGUUAUCCGGAAUUAUUGGGCGUAAAGCGCGCGUAGGCGGUUUUUUAAGUCUGAUGUGAAAGCCCACGGCUCAACCGUGGAGGGUCAUUGGAAACUGGAAAACUUGAGUGCAGAAGAGGAAAGUGGAAUUCCAUGUGUAGCGGUGAAAUGCGCAGAGAUAUGGAGGAACACCAGUGGCGAAGGCGACUUUCUGGUCUGUAACUGACGCUGAUGUGCGAAAGCGUGGGGAUCAAACAGGAUUAGAUACCCUGGUAGUCCACGCCGUAAACGAUGAGUGCUAAGUGUUAGGGGGUUUCCGCCCCUUAGUGCUGCAGCUAACGCAUUAAGCACUCCGCCUGGGGAGUACGACCGCAAGGUUGAAACUCAAAGGAAUUGACGGGGACCCGCACAAGCGGUGGAGCAUGUGGUUUAAUUCGAGGCAACGCGAAGAACCUUACCAAAUCUUGACAUCCUUUGACAACUCUAGAGAUAGAGCUUUCCCCUUCGGGGGACAAAGUGACAGGUGGUGCAUGGUUGUCGUCAGCUCGUGUCGUGAGAUGUUGGGUUAAGUCCCGCAACGAGCGCAACCCUUAAGCUUAGUUGCCAUCAUUAAGUUGGGCACUCUAAGUUGACUGCCGGUGACAAACCGGAGGAAGGUGGGGAUGACGUCAAAUCAUCAUGCCCCUUAUGAUUUGGGCUACACACGUGCUACAAUGGACAAUACAAAGGGCAGCGAAACCGUGAGGUCAAGCAAAUCCCAUAAAGUUGUUCUCAGUUCGGAUUGUAGUCUGCAACUCGACUACAUGAAGCUGGAAUCGCUAGUAAUCGUAGAUCAGCAUGCUACGGUGAAUACGUUCCCGGGUCU
Molecule: ribosomal RNA, 1372 nt
Filed under: uncultured bacterium
Lineage: Bacteria
Description: bacterial SSU rRNA
Rfam family: Bacterial small subunit ribosomal RNA
Source: RNAcentral